Molecule: non-coding RNA, 684 nt
Organism: Triticum urartu
Lineage: Eukaryota; Viridiplantae; Streptophyta; Magnoliopsida; Poales; Poaceae
Source: RefSeq, a predicted model, not a curated record
UUCAGGAAAUAGAAAAAAAAACUGAACCUUAUCUCUUAUCUCUCCCUCACAAUGUGAGCUCUCCUUGUCCAUAGGAGGCGUGUUCCACAUCUUUCUUCUCUUCCCCAAGCCGAAGGGAAGAAUCCCUUUCUCUCUUCUCCAGCCAGCCUACUCCACCCUCCCUUCCUUCCCCACUCCUCCCCAGGUGCCUCCUUGCUGCCCUUUGAUUUAGGGCUUUGAGGAAGAAGGAAAGGAGACAAGAAGAGGGAGAACAAGAAAGCUUCCCCAACUUUUCCCUUCACCAAAUCUUUGUGAUUUGACCAUAGAGGUACAUCACCGUGAGGCUUUGCAAGUAUUAGGAAGGGCGUAGCUCCCAUGGGUGUUCACUCACACAUUUCACACCCCUUCCAUCCACCUAGCUGGUCAUGAUAACUCUCAUACUUAGUUCAUGAUUCUUGGUAGCUAGGAUCUACUUGUGGUGUAUAAACUUUGCCUUGGUUUGUUUCCUUGAUCACUAUGUUUACCUGUCAAGGUGGGUUGGAGUUGACUAGUCCCCACCUUGCACCAUGGUGUGUUGGAACGUAUGUUUUCUUUGCUAUGUGUAGCGUAACGGUUGGUGGCUUCACCACUUUGCUCUACAUGGGUUGUAGGAGCUUGUUGGAUGCUUCUGCUUGUGAUAUUAUGAAUAUAUGCUCUGUUUAUUCA